AUCGCGUCUUGUGUCAACGUUCCGUUCACUGGGCGUUACUUCGUUUUUGUCUUACACGUACGGAGGUUAUGGUAUAGGUAGGAAGAGACCUGUGAAUAGUCGAUGGAUUAAAGAGGUGUAGGAUAAAGGGGGAAUGUUUCGAUUUAAGUAGCACAAAGGCGUGAUAUAUUAUCUCUUAAAUAUAAUAAAACAUUGAGGUUCACCUUGAAACAAGAUUUCACUUGAAAAGAAAAUAAAUAGUCUUAUUUUAUAAAAGACAAGAGGUCACUUCGCGAACGGAUGCACGUUAAUUCUUUGAAUUCGUAAACGUUCUACUAGAUUACAUCACGCUGCGUUGACACUUACAAUUAGUACAGUGAACGAACGAAUGAACGAACGAACGAACGAACGAGCGAACGAACGAAUACGCAAAAUUUGCUUCGCGAUAUCGCAAUAGAGAUAAUCAAAGCAUAGCUUUUGCUAUUCUAUCGUUCGUAUUGAAAGUUGUUACGACUUCGACAUAUCCGAUGACAACGCUUUCUUGUUAAAAAUUUAAGAUAAAACACAAGGAUAAGGCACGAAUUUUACAA
This 569-nucleotide long non-coding RNA is filed under the name Polistes dominula (European paper wasp). RNAcentral's name for it is "uncharacterized LOC107065364, transcript variant X1". The record is from RNAcentral. Lineage: Eukaryota; Metazoa; Arthropoda; Insecta; Hymenoptera; Vespidae.